This 65-nucleotide transfer RNA is filed under the name Pennisetia hylaeiformis (raspberry clearwing). Its description in RNAcentral is "tRNA-Gln". Lineage: Eukaryota; Metazoa; Arthropoda; Insecta; Lepidoptera; Sesiidae. The record is from RNAcentral.
UAUAUUUUAGUGUAAAAGCACAAUAAUUUUUGAAAUUAUUAGUUAUAAAGUAUUAUAAAAUAUAA